Molecule: ribosomal RNA, 353 nt
Filed under: uncultured bacterium
Lineage: Bacteria
Description: bacterial SSU rRNA
Rfam family: Bacterial small subunit ribosomal RNA
Source: RNAcentral
AGCGAACGCUGGCGGCAGGCCUAAUACAUGCAAGUCGAGCGCACCUUCGGGUGAGCGGCGGACGGGUGAGUAACGCGUGGGAAUGUGCCCUUUGGUACGGAACAACUGAGGGAAACUUCAGCUAAUACCGUAUGUGCCCUUCGGGGAAAGGAUUUAUCGCCAUUGGAGCAGCCCGCGUUGGAUUAGGUAGUUGGUGAGGUAAAGGCUCACCAAGCCGACGAUCCAUAGCUGGCUGAGAGGAUGAUCAGCCACACUGGGACUGAGACACGGCCCAGACUCCUACGGGAGGCAGCAGUAGGGAAUCUUGCGCAAUGGGCGAAAGCCUGACGCAGCCAUGCCGCGUGAAUGAUGAA